This 465-nucleotide ribosomal RNA is filed under the name uncultured bacterium. RNAcentral's name for it is "partial 16S ribosomal RNA". It matches the Rfam family "Bacterial small subunit ribosomal RNA", at positions 338 to 795 of the family's 1533-position model. The record is from RNAcentral.
CCUACGGGCGGCAGCAGUGGGGAAUAUUGCGCAAUGGGCGAAAGCCUGACGCAGCGACGCCGCGUGAGGGAUGAAGGUCUUCGGAUCGUAAACCUCUGUCAGCAGGGAAGAACGGUCACUGUGCUAAUCAGCAGUGAAUUGACGGUACCUGCAAAGGAAGCACCGGCUAACUCCGUGCCAGCAGCCGCGGUAAUACGGAGGGUGCGAGCGUUAAUCGGAAUUACUGGGCGUAAAGCGCUCGUAGGCGGUAUGUCAAGUCAAGGGUGAAAUCCCCGCGCUCAACGUGGGAACUGCCUUUGAAACUGGCAAACUGGAGUGUGUGAGAGGAUAGUGGAAUUCCAGGUGUAGGAGUGAAAUGCGUAGAUAUCUGGAAGAACAUCAGUGGCGAAGGCGACUAUCUGGCACAUAACUGACGCUGAGGAGCGAAAGCGUGGGUAGCAAACAGGAUUAGAUACCCGGGUAGUC